Molecule: non-coding RNA, 24 nt
Filed under: Arabidopsis thaliana (thale cress)
Lineage: Eukaryota; Viridiplantae; Streptophyta; Magnoliopsida; Brassicales; Brassicaceae
Source: RNAcentral
UACGUGCACUAUUUAGCUAAGCCU